ACGCUCGACACCUACGGGAGCAGCAGUGGGGAAUAUUGCACAAUGGGGGAAACCCUGAUGCAGCGACGCCGCGUGGAGGAAGAAGGUCUUCGGAUUGUAAACUCCUGUUGUUGGGGAAAAAGAGGAUGGUACCCAACAAGGAAGUGACGGCUAACUACGUGCCAGCAGCCGACGGUAAUCUGAGGCGGGCGUGGACGAAGGC
RNAcentral lists this ribosomal RNA (202 nucleotides) under uncultured bacterium. RNAcentral's name for it is "partial 16S ribosomal RNA". It matches the Rfam family "Bacterial small subunit ribosomal RNA", at positions 328 to 545 of the family's 1533-position model. The record is from RNAcentral.